CUAAAAGGUAACGGAGGCGCUCAAAGGUUCCCUCAGAAUGGUUGGAAAUCAUUCAUAGAGUGUAAAGGCAUAAGGGAGCUUGACUGCGAGACCUACAAGUCGAGCAGGGUCGAAAGACGGACUUAGUGAUCCGGUGGUUCCGCAUGGAAGGGCCAUCGCUCAACGGAUAAAAGCUACCCCGGGGAUAACAGGCUUAUCUCCCCCAAGAGUUCACAUCGACGGGGAGGUUUGGCACCUCGAUGUCGGCUCAUCGCAUCCUGGGGCUGUAGUCGGUCCCAAGGGUUGGGCUGUUCGCCCAUUAAAGCGGUACGCGAGCUGGGUUCAGAACGUCGUGAGACAGUUCGGUCCCUAUCCGUCGUGGGCGUAGGAAAUUUGAGAGGAGCUGUCCUUAGUACGAGAGGACCGGGAUGGACAUACCUCUGGUGUACCAGUUGUCGUGCCAACGGCAUAGCUGGGUAGCUAUGUGUGGACGGGAUAAGUGCUGAAAGCAUCUAAGCAUGAAGCCCCCCUCAAGAUGAGAUUUCCCAACUUCGGUUAUAAGAUCCCUCAAAGAUGAUGAGGUUAAUAGGUUCGAGGUGGAAGCAUGGUGACAUGUGGAGCUGACGAAUACUAAUCGAUCGAAGACUUAAUCAA
This 633-nucleotide ribosomal RNA is filed under the name Staphylococcus aureus. Its description in RNAcentral is "partial 23S ribosomal RNA". It matches the Rfam family "Bacterial large subunit ribosomal RNA", at positions 2290 to 2925 of the family's 2925-position model. The record is from RNAcentral. Lineage: Bacteria; Bacillati; Bacillota; Bacilli; Caryophanales; Staphylococcaceae.